This 253-nucleotide ribosomal RNA is filed under the name uncultured bacterium. RNAcentral describes it as "partial 16S ribosomal RNA". It matches the Rfam family "Bacterial small subunit ribosomal RNA", at positions 524 to 776 of the family's 1533-position model. The record is from RNAcentral.
UACAGAGGGGGCAAGCGUUGUUCGGAAUUACUGGGCGUAAAGGGCGCGUAGGCGGUCUGCUAAGUCGAACGUGAAAUCCCUGGGCUCAACCCAGGAACUGCGUCCGAUACUGGUUGGCUUGAAUCCGGGAGAGGGAUGUGGAAUUCCAGGUGUAGCGGUGAAAUGCGUAGAUAUCUGGAGGAACACCGGUGGCGAAGGCGACAUCCUGGACCGGUAUUGACGCUGAGGCGCGAAAGCCAGGGGAGCAAACGGG